UACGUAGGGUGCGAGCGUUAAUCGGAAUUACUGGGCGUAAAGCGUGCGCAGGCGGUUCGUUGUGUCGGUGGUGAAAUCCCCGGGCUUAACCUGGGAAUGGCCAUGGAAACUGGCGAACUGGAGUGCGGCAGAGGGGGGUGGAAUUCCGCGUGUAGCAGUGAAAUGCGUAGAGAUGCGGAGGAACACCGAUGGCGAAGGCAGCCCCCUGGGCUAGCACUGACGCUCAGGCACGAAAGCGUGGGGAGCAAACGGG
RNAcentral lists this ribosomal RNA (253 nucleotides) under uncultured bacterium. RNAcentral describes it as "partial 16S ribosomal RNA". It matches the Rfam family "Bacterial small subunit ribosomal RNA", at positions 524 to 776 of the family's 1533-position model. The record is from RNAcentral.